This 486-nucleotide ribosomal RNA is filed under the name uncultured bacterium. Its description in RNAcentral is "partial 16S ribosomal RNA". It matches the Rfam family "Bacterial small subunit ribosomal RNA", at positions 28 to 507 of the family's 1533-position model. The record is from RNAcentral.
GACGAACGCUGGCGGCGUGCUUAACACAUGCAAGUCGAACGCUGAAGCCCUGGCUUUUGUUGGGUUGGAUGAGUGGCGAACGGGUGAGUAACACGUGAGUAACCUGCCCUCUUCUUUGGGAUAACGCCCGGAAACGGGUGCUAAUACUGGAUAUUCACUGAUCUUCGCAUGGGGGUUGGUGGAAAGGUUUGUUCUGGUGGGGGAUGGGCUCGCGGCCUAUCAGCUUGUUGGUGGGGUGAUGGCCUACCAAGGCUUUGACGGGUAGCCGGCCUGAGAGGGUGACCGGUCACAUUGGGACUGAGAUACGGCCCAGACUCCUACGGGAGGCAGCAGUGGGGAAGAUUGCACAAUGGGCGAAAGCCUGAUGCAGCGACGCCGCGUGAGGGAUGGAGGCCUUCGGGUUGUAAACCUCUUUCGCUCAUGGUCAAGCCGCAACUGUGGGUUGUGGUGAGGGUAGUGGGUAAAGAAGCGCCGGCUAACUACGUG